RNAcentral lists this ribosomal RNA (465 nucleotides) under Vreelandella stevensii. RNAcentral's name for it is "partial 16S ribosomal RNA". It matches the Rfam family "Bacterial small subunit ribosomal RNA", at positions 338 to 795 of the family's 1533-position model. The record is from RNAcentral. Lineage: Bacteria; Pseudomonadati; Pseudomonadota; Gammaproteobacteria; Oceanospirillales; Halomonadaceae.
CCUACGGGAGGCUGCAGUGGGGAAUAUUGGACAAUGGGGGCAACCCUGAUCCAGCCAUGCCGCGUGUGUGAAGAAGGCCCUCGGGUUGUAAAGCACUUUCAGUGAGGAAGAACGCCUGGUGGUUAAUACCCAUCAGGAAAGACAUCACUCACAGAAGAAGCACCGGCUAACUCCGUGCCAGCAGCCGCGGUAAUACGGAGGGUGCGAGCGUUAAUCGGAAUUACUGGGCGUAAAGCGCGCGUAGGUGGCUUGAUAAGCCGGUUGUGAAAGCCCCGGGCUCAACCUGGGAACGGCAUCCGGAACUGUCAAGCUAGAGUGCAGGAGAGGAAGGUAGAAUUCCCGGUGUAGCGGUGAAAUGCGUAGAGCUCGGGAGGAAUACCAGUGGCGAAGGCGGCCUUCUGGACUGACACUGACACUGAGGUGCGAAAGCGUGGGUAGCAAACAGGAUUAGAUACCCCAGUAGUC